GUGAAUCAUCGAAUCUUUGAACGCACCUUGCGCCCUACGGGGCAUGCCGAUUUGAGCGCCUUAACAUCCUCGGCUAACCGCUCUGGCGGUUACCCGGACUUGAGCACUGCCGUUGUUGGCUUGCUCUGAAAGCAUGAGCGACUUGAAAGCUUGUAGCAACGUAAUAAGCAUUCCGUUGUGUCAAGUCGAGAGACGCUUCCAAUCGUCUUCGGAUACUUCUAAUGCUAGGCAUCAAAAUGGUAGGGCUACCCGCUGAACUUAAGCAUAUCAAUAAGCGGAGGA
Molecule: unclassified non-coding RNA, 282 nt
Filed under: Dacrymyces sp.
Lineage: Eukaryota; Fungi; Basidiomycota; Dacrymycetes; Dacrymycetales; Dacrymycetaceae
Description: partial internal transcribed spacer 2
Source: RNAcentral